GACGAACGCUGGCGGCGUGCUUAACACAUGCAAGUCGAACGGAAAGGCCCUGCUUUUGUGGGGUGCUCGAGUGGCGAACGGGUGAGUAACACGUGAGUAACCUGCCCUUGACUUUCGGAUAACUUCAGGAAACUGGGGCUAAUACCGGAUAGGAUCUCCUGCUGCAUGGUGGGCGUUGGAAAGUUUCGGCGGUUGGGGAUGGACUCGCGGCUUAUCAGCUUGUUGGUCGGGUAGUGGCUUACCAAGGCUUUGACGGGUAGCCGGCCUGAGAGGGUGGACAGCCACCUUACGACUGAGAUACGGACCAGACGGGUACGGGAGGCAGCGGGGGGAAGUAUUGCACAGUGAGCCGGAGCCUGAUACGGCGGCGCCGGGUGCGGGAUGACGGCCUUCGGGUUAUGAACCGCUGUCGCCUGUGACGAAGCGUGAGUGACGGUAAUGAAUGAAGAAGCACCGGCUAACUACGUG
This 468-nucleotide ribosomal RNA is filed under the name uncultured bacterium. Its description in RNAcentral is "partial 16S ribosomal RNA". It matches the Rfam family "Bacterial small subunit ribosomal RNA", at positions 28 to 507 of the family's 1533-position model. The record is from RNAcentral.